RNAcentral lists this ribosomal RNA (370 nucleotides) under uncultured bacterium. RNAcentral's name for it is "bacterial SSU rRNA". It matches the Rfam family "Bacterial small subunit ribosomal RNA", at positions 525 to 896 of the family's 1533-position model. The record is from RNAcentral.
ACAGGGGUGGCAAGCGUUACUCGGAAUUAUUGGGUGUAAAGGGCAGGUAGGCGGCUUGGUAAGUGAGGGGUGAAAUCCCACGGUUUAAUCGUGGAACAGCCUUUCAAACUGCCUUGCUUGAGGGUGACAGAGGAAGAUGGAAUUCUCGGUGUAAGGGUGAAAUCUGUAGAUAUCGGGAAGAACACCAACGGCGAAGGCAAUCUUCUGGGUCACAUCUGACGCUGAGCUGCGAAAGCUAGGGAGCAAACAGAAUUAGAUACUCUGGUAGUCCUAGCCGUAAACGAUGAAUACUAGGUGUUGGCCCCUUCGGGGGUCGGUGCCGAAGCUAACGCAUUAAGUAUUCCACCUGGGGACUACGAUCGCAAGGUUA